CUGCGAAUGGCUCAUUAAAUCAGUUAUCGUUUAUUUGAUAGUACCUUACUACAUGGAUAACCGUGGUAAUUCUAGAGCUAAUACAUGCUAAAAACCCCGACUUCGGAAGGGGUGUAUUUAUUAGAUAAAAAACCAAYGCCCUUCGGGGCUCCUUGGUGAUUCAUAAUAACUYAACGAAUCGCAUGGCCUUGCGCCGGCGAUGGUUCAUUCAAAUUUCUGCCCUAUCAACUUUCGAUGGUAGGAUAGUGGCCUACCAUGGUAUCAACGGGUAACGGGGAAUUAGGGUUCCAUUCCGGAGAGGGAGCCUGAGAAACGGCUACCACAUCCAAGGAAGGCAGCAGGCGCGCAAAUUACCCAAUCCCGACWCGGGGAGGUAGUGACAAUAAAUACUGAUACAGGGCUCUUUUGGGUCUUGUAAUUGGAAUGAGUACAAUUUAAAUCCCUUAACGAGGAACAAUUGGAGGGCAAGUCUGGUGCCAGCAGCCGCGGUAAUUCCAGCUCCAAUAGCGUAUAUUAAAGUUGUUGCAGUUAAAAAGCUCGUAGUUGAACCUUGGGCCUGGCUGGCCGGUCCGCCUCACCGCGUGUACUGGUCCGGCCGGGCCUUUCCUUCUGGGGAKCCGCAUGCCCUUCACUGGGYGUGYCGGGGAACCAGGACUUUUACUUUGAAAAAAUUAGAGUGUUCAAAGCAGGCCUUUGCUCGAAUACAUUAGCA
This 712-nucleotide ribosomal RNA is filed under the name Dothideomycetes sp. RNAcentral describes it as "SSU rRNA". It matches the Rfam family "Eukaryotic small subunit ribosomal RNA", at positions 87 to 820 of the family's 1831-position model. Lineage: Eukaryota; Fungi; Ascomycota; Dothideomycetes. The record is from RNAcentral.